CUGAAGGAGACCCUCCAGACCCCAGAAGGGUCCUUUUAGGGCGCGGCAAGCCAAGGGGGAGGCAAGGAGGGCGACGGCAAGCUUCAGCUCCAGUCACACACCCUCCUCUUGAGUACUCCUCAUCAUCCAGUGUGGACGUCCCACUUACUGUACCCUCAGCAAAACUAAAUCCUCAAGAGGAAUUUGAAAAAAAUAUGGAGAGGCUCUCUAAUAUUUUGGUAUCUUAUCCUUCUGCUGAGCCUCAAAGAAGCUCUGCAUCAUCAUGGUCUUUUCAGCAGCAGAAAGCCUCAGAUCGCUGGAAAGAAGCAAAACCAGACCACCUAAAAUGCCUUAUUGCAAAAGAGGCUGUUGGUCAUCCAUUGUGUUGGCUUUGCCAUGAGCCUGCUGUUAUUAGGUGCACAGAGUGUCUUCCCGAGGAGUGGUUCUGUGGGGAGUGUGAUGUAUUACGUCACAAAAAACAGCCACUCCACAACAGGGAAUGUGUCAUUCAUGGAUUUUUGAAGCCGUUCCACCAACCUCGUAUGCCAUUAAAGAGGAAGAUGGAUAUCACAUCCAUGAGCAAGGUACAGUGUGUUCUCACGAAAGCCAUCAUUUUGCUGUUCAUGUGUGUCUGCAGCCAGUUACAAAUAAUCUAAAUUAGUGAGUUUUUUGCAUUUUGCCGACUGUGAAGGUGCCAGACUGCUCCUGUGAAAGCACCAACUUCACCAUUUUACCAGGCAAACCAGUCAUUUUAAUUACCAUCAAUGGUAAAAACAAUUCGCUAUUUAGAUUUCUAUUGUAGAUUUGAUGUUUUUCAUACUAGUGUGCUGUGGCAUUGUGCUUACAAUUGCAGUCAUGUCAAAACCUAUGGUAUAGCACACGGUAUUGUCAUUAGCCAAAACAAAGACAGACCAAAAAAACCAAACCAAAAAAAGUAAGUCCAAUUAACACAGCUGUUAGAAUUUAGUGAAUUUGACAAAUGUAAACGAUGUGUGAUACCAAAGCCACUGGAAGGCAAGCCUGCAACCUUUAGCCAAAAAAGCUGCGGUGUAGAGAAGGAGACCAGAUGUCAAAGGA
This is a long non-coding RNA of Labeo rohita (rohu), 1056 nucleotides long. RefSeq lists it as uncharacterized. NCBI's taxonomy places the organism in Eukaryota, Metazoa, Chordata, Actinopteri, Cypriniformes, Cyprinidae. The record is from RefSeq and is a predicted model, not a curated record. The transcript has 4 exons.